CAAACAACAUGCCAUACAAUCUUAAUAAUUUUCAACUAGCUUAGGCAAAUAAAUCAUUUCAACAACCAUAAUUCUUCACAAUAUUCAACCAACCGUAGGCUUUAAAAUAUAGUGUUAAGCUUACCGUUUUCCUUUUUCACUUUGAGUCUUUCAUGUACCCAUGGAUUUAUUGACUUACAUGUUACUAAUUUUUCUCCAAUCAAGCCAAUCUUUUCUGCCACAAGACAUUUCUCUAAGUCACUAACUCAUUUUCAAAAACUACUCAAGCCAAAAACAAGAAUUCUUACCAUUCCUUGCUUGAAUCACUAAAACCAAGCUUUUUCUUCCUUUCUCUCUUUUUCUUUCUUCUCUUCCUAGGUUUUAGAUGUGCUGAAAAUUGGGGUUAAAGGCUGUAAAUUUAGUGCUCAAUAAGUUUGGAGAAGAAAGGAAAAGAAAACAUGGAAAGGAAAAAUGAAGAAAACUUGGUUUCAUGGUGGACAAAGAGAAAAUGGCAUGGAAGCUUCAAGAAUGGUGUGGAGCAUGGAGGAGAAGAGGAAAAAA
Molecule: long non-coding RNA, 540 nt
Filed under: Theobroma cacao (cacao)
Lineage: Eukaryota; Viridiplantae; Streptophyta; Magnoliopsida; Malvales; Malvaceae
Description: long non-coding RNA (TCAC_LNC003685)
Source: RNAcentral